Molecule: ribosomal RNA, 640 nt
Filed under: Curvibasidium nothofagi
Lineage: Eukaryota; Fungi; Basidiomycota; Microbotryomycetes
Description: [Rhodotorula] nothofagi partial large subunit ribosomal RNA
Rfam family: Eukaryotic large subunit ribosomal RNA
Source: RNAcentral
CUACUGCUUCCCUAGUACGGCGAGUGAGCGGGAAGAGCUCAAAUUUGUAAUCUGGCACUUUCAGUGUCCGAGUUGUAAUCUCGAGAAGUGUUUUCCGCGCCGGACCGCAACAAGUCUGUUGGAAUACAGCGUCAUAGUGGUGAGAACCCCGUAACUGAUGCGGAUGCCCGGUGCUUUGUGAUACACUUUCGAAGAGUCGAGUUGUUUGGGAAUGCAGCUCAAAUUGGGUGGUAAAUUCCAUCUAAAGCUAAAUAUUGGCGAGAGACCGAUAGCGAACAAGUACCGUGAGGGAAAGAUGAAAAGCACUUUGGAAAGAGAGUUAACAGUACGUGAAAUUGUUGGAAGGGAAACGAUUGAAGUCAGACUUGUUAUCUGGAGUUCAGCCUUUCGGUGUACUCUCCAGUUUACAGGCCAGCAUCAGUUUUCGGGGCGGGAAAAUCGUAAUUAGAAGGUAGCAGCCUAGCUGUGUUAUAGCUCUUUACUGGAUUCCGCUUUGGGGACUGAGGAACGCAGUGUGCUUUUAGCAAUACCCUCGGGUAUUUCACACUUAGGAUGCUGGUGGAAUGGCUUUAAACGACCCGUCUAAAAAAAGGGGAAAAAAAAAAACAAAAAAAAAAAAAAAAAAAAAAAAAAACAAGGC